Molecule: ribosomal RNA, 345 nt
Filed under: Triticum aestivum (bread wheat)
Lineage: Eukaryota; Viridiplantae; Streptophyta; Magnoliopsida; Poales; Poaceae
Description: partial small subunit ribosomal RNA
Source: RNAcentral
AUGGAAGCAGAACUCACAGCAUUAGACACUGCCACUGUUGAAGCAGAGUGGCUUCGUGAGCUCUUGAUGGACUUACCUAUGGUUGAAAAACCAAUACCCCCUAUCCUGAUGAACUGUGAUAAUCAAACUGUGAUCGUCAAGAUAAAUAGUUCUAAGGACAAUAUGAAGUCCUCAAGGCAUGUGAAGAGGAGACUAAAAUCUGUAAUAAAAUUGAGGAACUCUGGAGUUAUUACGUUGGGUUAUAUCCAAACGUCGAAAAACUUGGCAGAUCCCUUCACAAAGGGUCUAUCACGUAAUGUGAUAGAUAAUGCAUCGAUGGAGAUGGGUUUGAGACCCACCGCAUGA